RNAcentral lists this unclassified non-coding RNA (290 nucleotides) under Hevea brasiliensis (rubber tree). Lineage: Eukaryota; Viridiplantae; Streptophyta; Magnoliopsida; Malpighiales; Euphorbiaceae. The record is from RNAcentral.
GAAUACCCAGAUGCUUGAAUUGAAAAAUAACACCCUCCCUUUCACAAAACAACAACAACCUUAACCUUGAAGAUAACAAAAAGAAACAGAAUUGAAACUCAAACACAUAGCACACUGGCAUGCAUGCACAGCACAGGCAAUAGCACCAUCAAAACAUAUGAUCCUUGCAACCUUGAACAAGAAUAAACCAAUAGCCAGAUAGUGAAAAACAUAGAUCUUUUUUUGGACUUAGGGAGGAAGAGAACACAUAGAAAAGAGAGAAGGGGUAGCAGAGGGGUUAGUUUUGAAAA